Molecule: ribosomal RNA, 253 nt
Filed under: uncultured bacterium
Lineage: Bacteria
Description: partial 16S ribosomal RNA
Rfam family: Bacterial small subunit ribosomal RNA
Source: RNAcentral
UACAGAGGGUGCGAGCGUUAAUCGGAAUUACUGGGCGUAAAGCGCGCGUAGGCGGCUAUGCAAGUCGAGUGUGAAAUCCCCGGGCUCAACCUGGGAACUGCAUUCGAGACUGCAUUGCUUGAGUAUGGGAGAGGGAGGCGGAAUUUCAGGUGUAGCGGUGAAAUGCGUAGAUAUCUGAAGGAACAUCAGUGGCGAAAGCGGCCUCCUGGACCAAUACUGACGCUCAUGUGCGAAAGCGUGGGGAGCAAACAGG